UUUAUAUAUUCUCUCUUUUUCUCCCUCGUUAUAAGGGACAAUGAAGGGGAUCUCACUGAAAUGAUUGGCAGAGAAGUUUCAAACAAACUAAACGAUUUUGAAGACAUGAAGGUGGUGGGUAUGAAAGCACACUUGAAGAAUAUGCUCGAUUUGUUACAUUAUAAAAAAUGAUGAUGAAGAUAGUUGGAACUUGUGGCCCUGCGGGUAUUGGUAAGACUACCUUUGCAAGAUGGUCGUAAGACUCAUAGACACGUUCCGUCCCUAGGCCAGGGAGAUUGCACUGUGUUGUUUUAUCCCAAGAUUUUUCCACAUUUGGGUCUUUAAUGAAACAAGAUUUCAUGGUUCCAAGCUUGACCUCUGGAUUUUGUAUGGUCAAGUUUGAAGGAGGAGUAUUGAAAUGAGGAACCAAAAAGAAGAAUAAAUUGAAGAAAAAAAGACACAGGUGAAAGAAGAUGUCACAAAACUUCACCAAAACUCACAACCUCACAAGAGUUCACCAGAUCUCUCACAUGAUUUGGGUUAGACAAUAUUUGAAACCACCGAGCCAAACCAGACCUUCUCGUCUAUCAGUUGCCGCUGGCUCCUCCUCUAAGGCCUUAACAAGUGGUAAAAGACCGACAAUUAGCACUUCAUCUUCAGAGCGGUGAAGAUUCUUUUGAUUUGAUCCAGAUGGUGUUUGAUAGUUAAUUGUGUAACUAUAAGGAAGCAUAUGAUGCCUUUUUGUAAACCUGAUUAACAAACACCCGUGAGUCCGUGACCAAAGUCUUCUUUUUGGAUUGGUGUUAACAAAAUCUUGUCUACGUAAGCGUUGAGGUUUCUAUAUGUUGUUUUUCAUAUGAUAAUAGAAUUAAGCCAAAAUGCCCAGAGUUGCUCUUUUUUUUCUCUCUAUUAGUCUCUGAUUUUUUUUCCAGGAAUUCACUCUGGUUCCUGAAUAGAAAGAAAAUGAGAGAUGAGGUUAGGGCUGGGCGUAAAUUACUCGUUCCUCGCUUUAAACUCUCUAUUUGAUUUGUAUCCGCUUUGAAAAUUCAAAUACUCUUUGUUGUCAAGGCAAAUAACAAGUUGACAAUUU
This is a long non-coding RNA of Raphanus sativus (radish), 1069 nucleotides long. RefSeq lists it as uncharacterized. The transcript has 2 exons. Lineage: Eukaryota; Viridiplantae; Streptophyta; Magnoliopsida; Brassicales; Brassicaceae. The record is from RefSeq and is a predicted model, not a curated record.